RNAcentral lists this long non-coding RNA (275 nucleotides) under Cercocebus atys (sooty mangabey). RNAcentral describes it as "lncRNA (ENSCATG00000045673.1)". The record is from RNAcentral. Lineage: Eukaryota; Metazoa; Chordata; Mammalia; Primates; Cercopithecidae.
CAGAGUCAGACCCCAGCAUACGAGCUCCUCCUCCUAGAGUUUAAACUUGGGAGAAGUGCUGGGGGGAAGCAAGCACCUGGAAGUCUGCACAGUUGGCACACAGAGCUGUGAUUCUCACCUGGGCUCCUUGGGAUGCUGCUCUGGGAAAGUUCCUUCCUCUUGCCGACCUCAGGUCAUCACACUUAAGGGGGAAGAGAUGAACAAAGACACCUUCAGAGGAGAGAAGCCAAAACCAGGUCCGACCACCACACCUGCCAGGGUUUUGUGUCUAGGGU